This is a long non-coding RNA of Haliotis rufescens (red abalone), 238 nucleotides long. RefSeq lists it as uncharacterized. NCBI's taxonomy places the organism in Eukaryota, Metazoa, Mollusca, Gastropoda, Lepetellida, Haliotidae. The transcript is spliced from 2 exons. The record is from RefSeq and is a predicted model, not a curated record.
UCACCGCUCUGCCACUUGAAGAUCUUGAAAGUGCGCUCCCCAAACUCUGGUUGAAGCAGCAACAAACAGAUGGAGGGAUGAGAUAAAUGGCCCCAAAGAGACCCCGCCGCAAACGUGCAAUGCAAUUAGCCACCAAAGGCAUGACAUAGGACAACUGCAUCCAAGGGAAAAUCCCAUGAUGUUCUUGGCGCAGCUACACCUGGAUGAGGAGCAUCUGCCUGUUGUGCAUUUACAGCGU